GACGAACGCUGGCGGCGUGCCUAAUACAUGCAAGUCGAGCGAAUUGAUUUGGAGCUUGCUCCAAUGAUGUUAGCGGCGGACGGGUGAGUAACACGUGGGUAACCUGCCUUAUAGAUUGGGAUAACUUCGGGAAACCGGAGCUAAUACCGAAUAAUACUUUUUGACACAUGUCAGUUAGUUGAAAGACGGUUUCGGCUGUCACUAUAAGAUUGACCCGCGGCGCAUUAGCUAGUUGGUGAGGUAACGGCUCACCAAGGCAACGAUGCGUAGCCGACCUGAGAGGGUGAUCGGCCACACUGGGACUGAGACACGGCCCAGACUCCUACGGGAGGCAGCAGUAGGGAAUCUUCCACAAUGGGCGAAAGCCUGAUGGAGCAACGCCGCGUGAGUGAAGAAGGAUUUCGGUUCGUAAAACUCUGUUGCAAGGGAAGAACAAGUGCCGCAGGCAAUGGCGGCACCUUGACGGUACCUUGCGAGAAAGCCACGGCUAACUACGUGCCAGCCGCCGCGGUAA
RNAcentral lists this ribosomal RNA (514 nucleotides) under uncultured bacterium. RNAcentral describes it as "partial 16S ribosomal RNA". It matches the Rfam family "Bacterial small subunit ribosomal RNA", at positions 28 to 523 of the family's 1533-position model. The record is from RNAcentral.